This 24-nucleotide non-coding RNA is filed under the name Arabidopsis thaliana (thale cress). The record is from RNAcentral. Lineage: Eukaryota; Viridiplantae; Streptophyta; Magnoliopsida; Brassicales; Brassicaceae.
CUAGAGAAGACUCAGAGGGGUCCU